GACGAACCGAGCGAACGUUGUUCGGAAUCACUGGGCUUAAAGGGCGCGUAGGCGGGCUGCCGCGUCCGGGGUGAAAGCCCCCCGCUCAACGGGGGAACGGCCUCGGAUACGGGCGGUCUCGAGGGGGGUAGGGGCACUUGGAACUGUGGGUGGAGCGGUGAAAUGCGUUGAUAUCCACAGGAACUCCGGUGGCGAAGGCGAGGUGCUGGACCCCAUCUGACGCUGAGGCGCGAAAGCCAGGGGAGCGAACGGG
RNAcentral lists this ribosomal RNA (253 nucleotides) under uncultured prokaryote. RNAcentral's name for it is "partial 16S ribosomal RNA". It matches the Rfam family "Bacterial small subunit ribosomal RNA", at positions 524 to 776 of the family's 1533-position model. The record is from RNAcentral.